Molecule: small RNA, 28 nt
Filed under: Bombyx mori (domestic silkworm)
Lineage: Eukaryota; Metazoa; Arthropoda; Insecta; Lepidoptera; Bombycidae
Description: ovarian small RNA-27560
Source: RNAcentral
UCCGGGGUGUAAACACGGCUACUGCAUU